CUGCAACUGUCUAUUCAUACUGCCGUCUAGUGUUUCAUUUUGAAAACAGUUCUCCAUUCUGUCGUAUCUGAAAAUCCAUAAGAACUGAGUGUCAUGUGCAUAUCUAUACAUAUCCGUGCCUUAAAUUCAUAAGGAGCAUCUUGGGGAUGACGUAGGUUGCGCGUGUCACUAAUCUAAAUUUCAUGGCCAAUACUACGGAACGAUUUGCAACUUGGUGGAUGCGUGCCAAAAAUUAUGCGACUGAUAUCCAUCGUCAUUCUCUUCUAAUGAAGUGCUUCAAGAGAAAUUUUGCUGAAGGGAGUUGCUACUAUUCUUCAUUUGUAAGAGAUUUAUUUACAUUAGUUAGUUAGAUAUUCUUCAAAUUUCAACAAUUUUUCUGCAAGCUUUGUUGUUAAGAUUUUCUUAAAAGUUUCAUGUGCAAUGUUGUCGCAUCAUGUUUUUAUUGCGGGGGAAGAACUGCGCCAGGUGCUAUUUGUCAAAGUCGCGUGAAAAUUUGAGGCAUUAGUGGUCCGGUACGUAAUCUACCAGGAAGGCCAGUUAUAGCUUCGCGUGCCAUCAGGAACGGAAAUCUGAAUUAACGACUCGAUUGCGAAAUCGCGCGCCUAUCCGUACGCGUAUCGGGAUCAAAGAUUUCUCGCCAUGAUUGCUUUACCAUUGCUUUACUUUUGUUACAUAAUAAACCUGAUAUGUGCGAAUUCUGAGAGAAGUCAUACAGCAUACCUUAAUAGUCAAAAGUAUAUAUACAUAAUAAAUUACUAUAUAUUAAUUUUAUUAAUUUAUUACUAUAUUAAACUGUUAAUUUAUUAUAUCAGAAAGAGAAGGAAAUUCUCCGCAAUAUUGUAUUUAAAAAAUAUAUAUAUCGUAUUUGAAAAACCUGUUCCGAGUAUCGUGAUUCGAGCAGGAAGUUGAUGAUUAAAAGAAUUCUUGCAUUAUCUUUCGUAUCGCAGCGUAUUUCAUGUUAUCUUUUUUAGCGUUACACAGAAUCUCGCUACCAAACAUACGAGAGACGAGCAGUCUAUGUUCGCUUCGCAUUACAUCACAUUUAUUAUUACAAUUAACUCAUAACACAAUGCGUCAUUGCAUCAUUUUCACGGAAUUUUUAUUGAAUCUCUCUCUCUCUCUCUCUCUCUCUCUCUCUCUCUCUACGUCUCUCUACGAAUCUCUCAUAAUGGAAUUGCACUCCAUUAGUGUAACAAACGCAAUUCCAAGUAAAACGCGAGCAUGAAUUAUGAUAUUUAGCAUUACUCCAUAUUGACAAGUUUUUUUUGUUUUAAGACACCAAUGUAAUAGAAAUGUGUGAAACAUUUCAGGUAAAACGGAAAAUUUUCGCGAAGAGGAAGGAAUUUGCUUCCAUAAAAAUGGUCUCUCAUCAAACGUGCUUAUCCGUUGCAACUACAAUUUGCAAAAACGCGAGAAUUUUACUUCGUAUAUACGUGUAAUUUUACUUUACAUAUUUUAAUUUAUACAAAAUUUUAAUACACAAUUAAUGCACAUUUCUAUCUACAAAAAAUGCCUAUACCAGUCGCACAUCUAUCGAAGAUAUCGCACGUUGAUUUUAAUUAACAACACGAGAGCGAAGAAGGUAUGGGUUGCGUCCACGAGGAAGGGAGAGCAGAUGAGCGUUCGCAAGCCUCUUCUGGUUUAUAGGUGUUUUCUCGUUGUGCACGUGGCCGAGAUACUCCCGUAUUUUAUGCGUUUUCAAGGAGAUUCUAAAUAAAGCAAAUGGAAUUCGCAUUAGGUCAGUUCUACCCUGCGCAGCCUGCCAGAUGGUGACAUUGCUCCGUAUGAUGAUGAUAAGUACGCGCGUCUACAUGCUUCAAAAGUUUGCAAACAAUACACGUUAUAUAGAAGCGACCGACAUCCGCAAUACUGUUGCGAUUAAUCGCACAUAAAAUCGCGAAAAACAAAAUUUAAGUGAACCAGGAAUUGAAAUUCAUCUUGAUCAAACGAUUAACAUGAUGCAACAGUUAUCUAAUUCUUCGCAUUUAAUAUCAAGCUGAUCACGAUUUGAUAUAAUGAAACAAUACUCUUCAUUUGCUCUUGUGGAAGCGCUCCCCUCGAGACUAAUUAUCAGCCACGCCAGCGUGGAAUAUAUAAUUACUUUCAAACGGCGCCGCUACGUCUGAUAUUUCUCUCACUACAGCGCGUCUCUCGAGGUUGCAGCGCGCCAACUAACAUAUAUGCGCAAAGGAGAUAAUAACAUUUUUUAGCACUCAAUUAGGCGAAGCUCUGCAUCCCUGCGAGCUUUGCGAAUAUUGUAGCAAUGACGCAAUGAUACGCUUGCAUUAAAAAAACGCAUCUCCAAGCUGUUCCUUUAACUAGACAUACUCUGCGUUUAAAGAAACAAACAUUUAUUCGCACUGAUAAGUUCAAUUAAUGCCCGUGGCACGUCUCGGUAUUGCGUAAUUUUUAUUACAGUAAUAUAACGAUGUCCCUCCCAAUUUCAUCAUUAUUUUAUCAUCGCUUUACAUUUGUACGCUGCCUGUGUGAUAUCGGUGAUUCGACUUAAACGCACCAUUACGCUUUGUCGUAUCAUAAGCUUUACUUUCAAUAUCCAUUUAUUUGUUUGUGGUAAAUAUCGAUCGUUUACCUCGAGUACCAAGUCAAUGAUGCUUCAAGGAAUCAUCGUGUAGUACUUAAGAUAAGCGGUUUGGAGUAAAGCUUCAAAGCCAUUUACAAGUAACAUAAUACUCAUCGAAAUAUUAUCUGGAUUUCGAAAUGUGAUUUAGCAGAAGUUUACAUUGCACGUUGAAGUAUUAAACGUUCCAGUCUCGAAGUCACGAAGUGAGUCAUGUAAGUUGUUACAUUCCCAAGGAAAAUCCGUACUGGCGAAUACAAGGGUGACUCCGAUGAGGACACACGUGCUCGAGGCGCGGAGGACUUGUGUAGAAAAUCGAUCGACACACCUAUGAUUAAAUAACAAAGGGGAUAAUCUCUUCAAUGAGGCCAAGUAUCAUUUCGUCCCUUGCUUAUCUUUCUCUCUCUCCCUCUCUCUCCUUCGACCAUGGUGGGCGCUAUUGCGAUCGAUUCCACGAACUUCUUCCUAUAAUUGGUGUCUCUACGAAGACAGCGAAGUUUUAUUUUAGUCUUUUUCCUCUAAACGGCCGCAACAGGUAACAAAUGGGCAUUUUGAAGAAGAAGGGAUCGCCAAUCGGCUCGACGGACAAUAAUGAGGUAAUCGAUUUUGAUCUAUUUCUCAUCAUGCAUAAAUCACCGUGUCCUUAAAAUAAAACUUCCAUUCUCGGCAGGAAAUUUGAUCGAGUCACGCGCGUUUUCACUGGUUCUUCGCAAAUAAUUAUUUCUCGCAUGUGCGCAACUGGCGAAUGCGAGCCUAGACAUCUCGGGAUUCAACAGCCACGAUCCAGUUAAAGCCAGUCGGAUCCAACCAGUCUGGCAGAUCACCUGAAACGUCAUGAGAUUCUAAAAAGUGCUCGUUAUCACUUGCCCGCACUUUGUACCAAGGAUAAAAAACCGAAUGCACCUAGGAUAAUCAACGAUUAUUACUAUAAGAUUGCGUAAGAAAAAAGAUCUGCAAUAUUUAGUCUUGAAGAAGCAGAAUUAGAUAACUCUUCAAUUCCUGCCUUUUCUUCUUAGAAGACAAUCCAACGCGCGAGGAAGAUAUGCCAGCAACCUAAUCUGUGCAAUUAUUAAUGCGGAAUGUUGCAAGGUAAGUUUCUGACUUUUCUUUUCUUGGACCAUGUUGUCUUUCGCCGUCUUUUGUUGAAGCUCUUUAAUGGAAAAGGGCGUGGUAGCUUCCGACGACAUACGUCAUAAGAAGUAUAUGGAAUGAGGCCAGACUGCUGCGAAGAAAAUGUUGUAACCGAUCAAUAGAGCAACACGUGGUUCAGACCCGCCGAUGUUUACCAUAGGGAUAAAAUACCUGAAGCCUAAUGAACUGAUUAAGACAAUUGCGAAGAAUAUUAUUUCUCAUUUUCUUCCUCUCGCUCCACAUACACACAUACGCGGUGAACACAUGACUUUACACAAGAACAGAUCUUAAUGAGAAAAUAAUAUUUCAAAGAUGACCAAAAAUCUGCUGCAAUGUAAAGGAGUUUGCCAAAAAAUAAUAUUUGUGGUGUACUCUUAGAGGUAUAUUUAGAUACUUACUGUGCAUAUUUAGAUAUUAACGCACAAAGUUGGUAAUGCAGCGUAAAUGCUGAUAUUAGCAAUUCCAUAAAUAGCGAAUGUGCUCUACCCAUUACCAUCUACUUUUACGUCGUAAACCCUUCCUCACAUCUGCAACAAGUGCCAGCUUGUAUUUAAAUGCUAAUUAUCGUAGCUAAAAAUAAUACUGCAUUUCCUUUUCAUUAU
Molecule: long non-coding RNA, 4311 nt
Filed under: Ooceraea biroi (clonal raider ant)
Lineage: Eukaryota; Metazoa; Arthropoda; Insecta; Hymenoptera; Formicidae
Description: uncharacterized LOC105282351, transcript variant X1
Source: RNAcentral